Long non-coding RNA from Saccostrea echinata, 129 nucleotides. RefSeq lists it as uncharacterized. The transcript has 3 exons. The record is from RefSeq and is a predicted model, not a curated record. Lineage: Eukaryota; Metazoa; Mollusca; Bivalvia; Ostreida; Ostreidae.
UAAGAGUUAAAAAGGAACUGGAAAAAAGGCCUGACCUUCGAUAUUUCAUCAUUAAUGAAAUGAUGAAGGAGGAAGAAGGCAUUGACAAGAAAAAAGAAAAGGAAGAAAGCAUUGACAAGAAAAAACAAG